This is a long non-coding RNA of Equus quagga, 275 nucleotides long. RefSeq lists it as uncharacterized. The transcript is spliced from 3 exons. The record is from RefSeq and is a predicted model, not a curated record. NCBI's taxonomy places the organism in Eukaryota, Metazoa, Chordata, Mammalia, Perissodactyla, Equidae.
UAUAAUUUUCCCUAUUCUUCCUGCUAGGUAUGGCUAAAAAUUCUGGACACUAUAAAACAAACACAGCUGACCUCCCCUAAAAGAAUGGCUAUGGGGAAUUUCCCUAAACAGAAGGCAGCAACGAAAGAAGAAAUCUUGGAACAUCAAGAGGAACAAUUUGGUGCUAGAGCUGUUAGGUGGGACAGAACAAGGUCUUGCAGGCCUUUGGACAGAGAGCAAGCAAACGAAGAAACACCCAUCAGUGUAUACGAUUAUUCCAACCCAGCAGGGCAGGA